Molecule: non-coding RNA, 21 nt
Filed under: Arabidopsis thaliana (thale cress)
Lineage: Eukaryota; Viridiplantae; Streptophyta; Magnoliopsida; Brassicales; Brassicaceae
Source: RNAcentral
AUGGCUAGAGUGACUAGACCC